CGGAGGGCUAGCGUUGUUCGGAAUUACUGGGCGUAAAGCGCACGUAGGCGGAUCGGACAGUCAGAGGUGAAAUCCCAGGGCUCAACCUUGGAACUGCCUUUGAAACUACUGGUCUGGAGUUCGAGAGAGGUGAGUGGAAUUCCGAGUGUAGAGGUGAAAUUCGUAGAUAUUCGGAGGAACACCAGUGGCGAAGGCGGCUCACUGGCUCGAUACUGACGCUGAGGUGCGAAAGCGUGGGAGCAAACAGGAUU
Molecule: ribosomal RNA, 251 nt
Filed under: uncultured bacterium
Lineage: Bacteria
Description: partial 16S ribosomal RNA
Rfam family: Bacterial small subunit ribosomal RNA
Source: RNAcentral